This 253-nucleotide ribosomal RNA is filed under the name uncultured bacterium. RNAcentral describes it as "partial 16S ribosomal RNA". It matches the Rfam family "Bacterial small subunit ribosomal RNA", at positions 524 to 776 of the family's 1533-position model. The record is from RNAcentral.
UACGGGGGGGGCAAGCGUUGUUCGGAAUUACUGGGCGUAAAGGGCUCGUAGGUGGCCAACUAAGUCGGACGUGAAAUCCCUCGGCUUAACCGGGGAACUGCGUCCGAUACUGGUUGGCUUGAAUCCGGGAGAGGGAUGCAGAAUUCCAGGUGUAGCGGUGAAAUGCGUAGAUAUCUGGAGGAAUACCGGUGGCGAAGGCGGCAUCCUGGACCGGCAUUGACGCUGAUGAGCGAAAGCUAGGGGAGCAAACGGG